RNAcentral lists this long non-coding RNA (444 nucleotides) under Mustela putorius furo (domestic ferret). RNAcentral's name for it is "lncRNA (ENSMPUG00000030341.1)". Lineage: Eukaryota; Metazoa; Chordata; Mammalia; Carnivora; Mustelidae. The record is from RNAcentral.
NNNNGCCCACGUGUGUCCGGCCUCCGCAGGGCCCUGGGCGGCGGCGCGGGAUGGGGCGGCGGUCAGCGUGUCACCGCUUGGUGGCCUCGUGUGCGCACAGCUGGGGCCCGGGGAGCACGGGGUUAAAGAAGUCAGUGGAAGAACAGCUGAUUUCUACGGUUUUAAUGACUACUUUGGGACCACUCACAUGACCCAACACACCGCAUACGUGAAAAUGUUCAUGGAAAGAACACCCAUCAAGUGGUCUUUUCCGUUUCUCUCCCUUUUCACCCAGCUCCAGUUAAAAUUCCGUGAAGGAGGAUUGUGAAAUGCCAUUGUCUAACAGCAUGGCUGGAGAGAAACAGAAGGGGUGGUGAAGAAUUGAACACACGCCUCAACCCCCGCUUGGUACCUGUCACAUUUCAGUCUCUAUUCACCCUUCAGGUCUCUCUUUCAACCCUCUGC